This 332-nucleotide ribosomal RNA is filed under the name uncultured soil bacterium. Its description in RNAcentral is "bacterial SSU rRNA". It matches the Rfam family "Bacterial small subunit ribosomal RNA", at positions 26 to 386 of the family's 1533-position model. The record is from RNAcentral.
AGAACGAACGCUGGCGGCAUGCCUAAUACAUGCAAGUCGAACGAGAUCUUCGGAUCUAGUGGCGCACGGGUGCGUAACGCGUGGGAAUCUACCCUUGGGUUCGGAAUAACAGUUGGAAACGACUGCUAAUACCGGAUGAUGACGAAAGUCCAAAGAUUUAUCGCCCAGGGAUGAGCCCGCGUAGGAUUAGCUAGUUGGUGAGGUAAAGGCUCACCAAGGCUACGAUCCUUAGCUGGUCUGAGAGAUGAUCAGCCACACUGGGACUGAGACACGGCCCAGACUCCGUACGGGAGGCAGCAGUAGGAAUAGUUGGACAAGUGGGGCAACCCUGA